UGAAAGGCUGGUAAAAGUAGCAAAUAAUUAGCAGACAUACACUCUUCCUUGGCUGGCCACACAAUAAGCAAGUUUGAAUGUUUCAAACUUUGCUAAAUUUAGCUUGGGGCAAAUCUUCAAAGGUACAAAAAGUGGAGGGGUUUGAACGGAGCUUAAGGAAACUUUGAGGGCUAUUUUGCAAGUAAUUAAAUAAUCUAAAUACGCUGAUUAGGUCAGCUUAUUGGGAUGUUUUUG
This 234-nucleotide long non-coding RNA is filed under the name Gossypium barbadense (sea-island cotton). Its description in RNAcentral is "long non-coding RNA (GBAR_LNC021588)". The record is from RNAcentral. Lineage: Eukaryota; Viridiplantae; Streptophyta; Magnoliopsida; Malvales; Malvaceae.